Dioscorea cayenensis subsp. rotundata (Guinea yam) is the source of this 400-nucleotide long non-coding RNA. RefSeq lists it as uncharacterized. The record is from RefSeq and is a predicted model, not a curated record. Lineage: Eukaryota; Viridiplantae; Streptophyta; Magnoliopsida; Dioscoreales; Dioscoreaceae. The transcript is spliced from 3 exons.
UUUCCUUGGGGUUUUUGAGAAGCUUUGAGGAGGUGAGACUUCAAGCAAAGGAAAUGAGCCGGUAGAGAAGUAACGCAAGGGUGUUUUAGCUCACCAAGUUUGAGGAUCCCCAGUAUUUACUAUGGUAUGAAGUGGAUGGUUUCCACGGGCUGACCUAGUUAAGAUGGAGUGGAAAACUAUCAAACCGGUUAUGUCAUUUCAGGUGGGAGCGUAGAGCCCUGAUUUGGAUAUUGUUGGGUUGUUCGGAGUCACCACACAGACUUCCAAAUGGCCAAUAGCAAGAGACACGCAUCUUGGUGGCUCCUAACCUAACUGAGGCCACUGUUAGCGAUGGAAGGUUUUUGAGGCUAUUUGUAAUACUAUUGACUAUUUUAAAUUGUUGAUUUAUUUAUUUAUAAAC